This 262-nucleotide ribosomal RNA is filed under the name uncultured bacterium. Its description in RNAcentral is "partial 16S ribosomal RNA". It matches the Rfam family "Bacterial small subunit ribosomal RNA", at positions 1240 to 1500 of the family's 1533-position model. The record is from RNAcentral.
CAAAGAGAGGCAAAGCCGCGAGGUGGAGGCAAAUCUCAAAAAGACCGUCCCAGUUCGGAUUGCAGGCUGCAACCCGCCUGCAUGAAGUUGGAAUCGCUAGUAAUCGCGGAUCAGCAUGCCGCGGUGAAUACGUUCCCGGGCCUUGUACACACCGCCCGUCACACCAUGAGAGUCGGGAACACCCGAAGUCCGUAGCCUGACCGCAAGGGGGGCGCGGCCGAAGGUGGGUUCGAUAAUUGGGGUGAAGUCGUAACAAGGUACC